RNAcentral lists this small nucleolar RNA (94 nucleotides) under Neogobius melanostomus (round goby). Its description in RNAcentral is "Z30 small nucleolar RNA (ENSNMLG00000007379.1)". It matches the Rfam family "Z30 small nucleolar RNA". From Rfam's summary of the family: Z30 belongs to the C/D class of snoRNA which contain the C (UGAUGA) and D (CUGA) box motifs. Most of the members of the box C/D family function in directing site-specific 2'-O-methylation of substrate RNAs. The record is from Rfam by way of RNAcentral. Lineage: Eukaryota; Metazoa; Chordata; Actinopteri; Gobiiformes; Gobiidae.
CUGUGGUGAUGAUUGUUUGAACUGACCUGGCAUUGUUGAUCUCUGGGUUGACUCUGGCCAGGACAUGACCUCAUUUAAUCUUCUCUCUGAGCAG